CUCUGCUCCUAUCAGUCACUCAUGGCCGAGGCUCAAAUAUUGGUGACCUGUAUACCUCCAGAACUCCAGAGGGUCUCCCACCGACCUCGACGAAUAUGUACAGAAAGCCUACUGUAAGCGUGAAGACCCUGUGCUGAGGGAGGAUACAUUUUUGGAGAGUGGAGACAUCCCAGGACUGAAGACACAAGCCUCCUGUCCAGCUCUAAGCAAUGCAGCAAUGCAAGGACAGCGUACAGUACAAGUUUGGAAAAGUUUCUCUUUUUCUGGAACUGCGGGCAGAGAAGGGAUCUCAGAUCAACCUCAG
RNAcentral lists this long non-coding RNA (304 nucleotides) under Homo sapiens (human). RNAcentral describes it as "HSALNT0401946". The record is from RNAcentral. Lineage: Eukaryota; Metazoa; Chordata; Mammalia; Primates; Hominidae.